AACGAACGCUGGUGGCAGGCUUAACACAUGCAAGUCGAGCGCCCCGCAAGGGGAGCGGCAGACGGGUGAGUAACGCGUGGGAAUCUACCCAUCCCUACGGAAUAGCUCCGGGAAACUGGAAUUAAUACCGUAUACGCCCUACGGGGGAAAGAUUUAUCGGGGAUGGAUGAGCCCGCGUUGGAUUAGCUAGUUGGUGGGGUAAAAGCCUACCAAGGCGACGAUCCAUAGCUGGUCUGAGAGGAUGAUCAGCCACAUUGGGACUGAGACACGGCCCAAACUCCUACGGGAGGCAGCAGUGGGGAAUAUUGGACAAUGGGGGCAGCCCUGAUCCAGCCAUGCCGCGUGAGUGAUGAAGGCCUUAGGGUUGUAAAGCUCUUUCACCGGGGAAGAUAAUGACGGUACCCGGAGAAGAAGCCCCGGCUAACUUCGUGCCAGCAGCCGCCGUAA
This 447-nucleotide ribosomal RNA is filed under the name uncultured bacterium. Its description in RNAcentral is "partial 16S ribosomal RNA". It matches the Rfam family "Bacterial small subunit ribosomal RNA", at positions 29 to 523 of the family's 1533-position model. The record is from RNAcentral.